AGAUCUUUAAAGCAUCUACUAUGUGAAAAAGUUCUCUGCUAGAUAUUUUACUAAGGUAAUAAGCAACUUUACAACAAAGACAACAAUGAAAAACAAUGAUGGUCCACAUCCUGCCGAGGGUCACACGGGCAGCCAGUGGAUGAGCUGGCCUCCUAAACCAGUUCCAACUCUCAUCUCCAUGGGAGGAGAUAAGCUCACCUCCCAUCAGCUCCCGUGACACGCUGGUAUGGGUGACUCAACACGGAAGUCUGUAUUUCCACCCAGUCAAGUUCUGUCAUGGAUUUUCUAGGACAUCUCAGAGCCCUUUCUGCAAACCCAAGGGUGAGAUCUAAACAUCGAUGCAGUCUCAGUGGCAUGAGUACUUCCAGAGCAAAGUCACAGUCAAAAACACAUCUGUGCGGCCGGAGGGGUCUGGGGAACAGAAAAAGGCCAUACUCUGUGUGAUGCGUUACU
Long non-coding RNA from Suricata suricatta (meerkat), 453 nucleotides. RefSeq lists it as uncharacterized. The record is from RefSeq and is a predicted model, not a curated record. The transcript is spliced from 3 exons. Lineage: Eukaryota; Metazoa; Chordata; Mammalia; Carnivora; Herpestidae.